Molecule: ribosomal RNA, 265 nt
Filed under: uncultured archaeon
Lineage: Archaea
Description: partial 16S ribosomal RNA
Rfam family: Archaeal small subunit ribosomal RNA
Source: RNAcentral
ACACGACUACAUUAGAUACCCCGGUAGUCCUAGCCGUAAACGAUACUCGCUAGGUGUCGGCCACGGUGCGACCGUUGUCGGUGCCGUAGGGAAGCCGUGAAGCGAGCCACCUGGGAAGUACGGCCGCAAGGCUGAAACUUAAAGGAAUUGGCGGGGGAGCACCACAACGGGUGGAGCUUGCGGUUUAAUUGGAUUCAACGUCGGAAAUCUUACCGGGACCGACAGCAACAUGAAGGCCAGGCUGAAGACUUUGCCGGAUUAGCUG